This 90-nucleotide transfer RNA is filed under the name Streptococcus pyogenes. Its description in RNAcentral is "tRNA-Pro (TGG) (tRNA-Pro-TGG-2-1)". It matches the Rfam family "tRNA". Rfam says of the family: Transfer RNA (tRNA) molecules are approximately 80 nucleotides in length. Their secondary structure includes four short double-helical elements and three loops (D, anti-codon, and T loops). Further hydrogen bonds mediate the characteristic L-shaped molecular structure. tRNAs have two regions of fundamental functional importance: the anti-codon, which is responsible for specific mRNA codon recognition, and the 3' end, to which the tRNAs corresponding amino acid is attached (by aminoacyl-tRNA synthetases). tRNAs cope with the degeneracy of the genetic code in two manners: having more than one tRNA (with a specific anti-codon) for a particular amino acid; and 'wobble' base-pairing, i.e. permitting non-standard base-pairing at the 3rd anti-codon position. The record is from RNAcentral. Lineage: Bacteria; Bacillati; Bacillota; Bacilli; Lactobacillales; Streptococcaceae.
GGAGGAUUACCCAAGUCCGGCUGAAGGGAACGGUCUUGGAAACCGACAAAGGAGUAAAAGAGUGGGUGGGUUCGAAUCCCACAUCCUCCU